GAGGCCAUUGCUAUCGGAGUCCGAUUUAGCCAUGCUAGUUGUGCGGGUUUAGACCCGCAGCGGAAAGCUCAGUAACACGUGGCCAAGCUACCCUGUGGACGGGAAUACUCUCGGGAAACUGAGGCUAAUCCCCGAUAACGCUUUGCUCCUGGAAGGGGCAAAGCCGGAAACGCUCCGGCGCCACAGGAUGCGGCUGCGGUCGAUUAGGUAGACGGUGGGGUAACGGCCCACCGUGCCCAUAAUCGGUACGGGUUGUGAGAGCAAGAGCCCGGAGACGGAAUCUGAGACAAGAUUCCGGGCCCUACGGGGCGCAGCAGGCGCGAAACCUUUACACUGUACGAAAGUGCGAUAAGGGGACUCCGAGUGUGAAGGCAUAGAGCCUUCACUUUUGUACACCGUAAGGUGGUGCACGAAUAAGGACUGGGCAAGACCGGUGCCAGCCGCCGCGGUAAUACCGGCAGUCCGAGUGAUGGCCGAUCUUAUUGGGCCUAAAGCGUCCGUAGCUGGCUGAACAAGUCCGUUGGGAAAUCUGUCCGCUUAACGGGCAGGCGUCCAGCGGAAACUGUUCAGCUUGGGACCGGAAGACCUGAGGGGUACGUCUGGGGUAGGAGUGAAAUCCUGUAAUCCUGGACGGACCGCCGGUGGCGAAAGCGCCUCAGGAGAACGGAUCCGACAGUGAGGGACGAAAGCUAGGGUCUCGAACCGGAUUAGAUACCCGGGUAGUCCUAGCUGUAAACGAUGUCCGCUAGGUGUGGCGCAGGCUACGAGCCUGCGCUGUGCCGUAGGGAAGCCGAGAAGCGGACCGCCUGGGAAGUACGUCUGCAAGGAUGAAACUUAAAGGAAUUGGCGGGGGAGCACUACAACCGGAGGAGCCUGCGGUUUA
Molecule: ribosomal RNA, 883 nt
Filed under: Halobacterium salinarum
Lineage: Archaea; Methanobacteriati; Methanobacteriota; Halobacteria; Halobacteriales; Halobacteriaceae
Description: bacterial SSU rRNA
Rfam family: Archaeal small subunit ribosomal RNA
Source: RNAcentral